RNAcentral lists this ribosomal RNA (500 nucleotides) under uncultured bacterium. RNAcentral's name for it is "partial 16S ribosomal RNA". It matches the Rfam family "Bacterial small subunit ribosomal RNA", at positions 30 to 523 of the family's 1533-position model. The record is from RNAcentral.
AUUGAACGCUGGCGGCAUGCCUUACACAUGCAAGUCGAACGGCAGCGCGGGAGCAAUCCUGGCGGCGAGUGGCGAACGGGUGAGUAAUAUAUCGGAACGUGCCCAGUAGCGGGGGAUAACGCAGCGAAAGCUGUGCUAAUACCGCAUACGCACUACGGUGGAAUGAGGGGGAUCGCAAGCUCUCUUACUAUUCGAGCGGCUGAUAUCAGAUUAGCUUGUGGGCGGGGUAAAAGCCCACCAAGGCGACGAUCUGUAGCUGGUUUGAGAGAACGACCAGCCACACUGGGACUGAGACACGGCCCAGACUCCUACGGGAGGCAGCAGGGGGGAAUUUUGGACAAUGGGCGCAAGCCUGAUCCAGCCAUGCCGCGUGCGGGAAGAAGGCCUUCGGGUUGUAAACCGCUUUUGUUCGGGAAGAAAUUGACUGGGCUAAUACCCUGGUCGGAUGACGGUACCGGAAGAAAAAGCACCGGCUAACUACGUGCCAGCAGCCGCCGUAA